AUGAACGCUGGCGGCGUGCCUAAUCCCUGCAAGUCGAGCGUACAGACGAGGAGCUUGCUCCUCUGACGUUAGCGGCGGACGGGUGAGUAACACGUGGAUAACCUACCUAUAAGACUGGGAUAACUUCGGGAAACCGGAGCUAAUACCGGAUAAUAUAUUGCACCGCAUGGUUCCAUAGUGAAAGACGGUUUUGCUGUCACUUAUAGAUGGAUCCGCGCCGCAUUAGCUAGUUGGUAAGGUAACGGCUUACCAAGGCGACGAUGCGUAGCCGACCUGAGAGGGUGAUCGGCCACACUGGAACUGAGACACGGUCCAGACUCCUACGGGAGGCAGCAGUAGGGAAUCUUCCGCAAUGGGCGAAAGCCUGACGGAGCAACGCCGCGUGAGUGAUGAAGGUCUUCGGAUCGUAAAACUCUGUUAUUAGGGAAGAACAAAUGUGUAAGUAACUAUGCACGUCUUGACGGUACCUAAUCAGAAAGCCACGGCUAACUACGUG
Molecule: ribosomal RNA, 496 nt
Filed under: uncultured bacterium
Lineage: Bacteria
Description: partial 16S ribosomal RNA
Rfam family: Bacterial small subunit ribosomal RNA
Source: RNAcentral